RNAcentral lists this RNase P RNA (442 nucleotides) under Flavobacteriales bacterium. RNAcentral describes it as "RNase P RNA component class A". It matches the Rfam family "Bacterial RNase P class A". Rfam says of the family: Ribonuclease P (RNase P) is a ubiquitous endoribonuclease, found in archaea, bacteria and eukarya as well as chloroplasts and mitochondria. Its best characterised activity is the generation of mature 5'-ends of tRNAs by cleaving the 5'-leader elements of precursor-tRNAs. Cellular RNase Ps are ribonucleoproteins. The record is from RNAcentral. Lineage: Bacteria; Pseudomonadati; Bacteroidota; Flavobacteriia; Flavobacteriales.
CCUGUGCAUCGCUCCAUCGUCCCAGGUCUAUGGCCUGGGGAGGAAAGUCCGGGCAGCAUAGGGCACCAUGCUUCCUAACGGGAAGGAGCGCGUUCGGGAACGGACGUGCUACGGAAAGUGCCACAGAAAGGGAGACCGCCACAGGACCGCAAGGUCCGAGGCCUGAACUUGGCAAGGCCCGCCUUCGCCAAGGCUUCGGCGUGGCAAGGAUGAAAAGGUGAGGUAAGAGCUCACCAGUGCCCCGUGUGAGCGGGGCAGCUUGGUAAACCCCACGGGCUGAAAGACCAUGUAUACCGGGGUUCCGUCGCAAGGCGGAUAAGGACGGCCCGUCCGAUCCCGGAGGGUAGGUCGAUAGAGGCGGCGUGCGAGCGACGUCCCAGAUAGAUGAUGGAGGUCCUUCGCAAGAGGGACACAGGACCCGGCUUAUAGAUGCACAGGCUUU